GACGUAGGGUGCGAGCGUUGUCCGGAUUUAUUGGGCGUAAAGAGCGUGUAGGCGGCCCGAUAAGUCCGCCGUGAAAGUCCAGGGCUCAACCCUGGAAUGCCGGUGGAAACUGUCGGGCUGGAGUCCGGAAGAGGCGAGUGGAAUUCCUGGUGUAGCGGUGAAAUGCGCAGAUAUCAGGAGGAACACCAAUGGCGAAGGCAGCUCGCUGGGACGGUACUGACGCUGAGACGCGAAAGCGUGGGGAGCAAACAGG
RNAcentral lists this ribosomal RNA (253 nucleotides) under uncultured bacterium. RNAcentral's name for it is "partial 16S ribosomal RNA". It matches the Rfam family "Bacterial small subunit ribosomal RNA", at positions 524 to 776 of the family's 1533-position model. The record is from RNAcentral.